CGGGCGUGCCUAACACAUGCAAGUCGUACGAGAAAGUCGGCUUCGGCUGAUGAGUAAAGUGGCGCACGGGUGAGUAACGCGUGGAUAAUCUGCCCUUGAGUGUGGAAUAACGUACCGAAAGGUGCGCUAAUACCGCAUAAUGCCUGGCAACACAAGUUGUCCGGCCAAAGAAGGCCUCUGUUUACAAGCUUUUGCUCAAGGAUGAGUCCGCGUACCAUUAGCUAGUUGGUGGGGUAACGGCCUACCAAGGCUACGAUGGUUAGCUGGUCUGAGAGGAUGAUCAGCCACACUGGAACUGAGACACGGUCCAGACUCCUACGGGAGGCAGCAGUGAGGAAUAUUGCGCAAUGGGGGCAACCCUGACGCAGCAACGCCGCGUGAGUGAGGAAGGUUUUCGGACUGUAAAGCUCUGUCGAGCGGGAAGAAAUGUACCAUGGCUAAUAUCCAUGAUAUUUGACGGUACCGCUAGAGGAAGCACCGGCUAACUCCGUG
Molecule: ribosomal RNA, 492 nt
Filed under: uncultured bacterium
Lineage: Bacteria
Description: bacterial SSU rRNA
Rfam family: Bacterial small subunit ribosomal RNA
Source: RNAcentral